This 267-nucleotide ribosomal RNA is filed under the name uncultured Gammaproteobacteria bacterium. RNAcentral describes it as "partial 16S small subunit ribosomal RNA". It matches the Rfam family "Bacterial small subunit ribosomal RNA", at positions 1106 to 1373 of the family's 1533-position model. The record is from RNAcentral. Lineage: Bacteria; Pseudomonadati; Pseudomonadota; Gammaproteobacteria.
UGUCCUUAGUUACCAGCACGUAAUGGUGGGCACUCUAAGGAGACUGCCGGUGACAAACCGGAGGAAGGUGGGGAUGACGUCAAGUCAUCAUGCCCUUACGGCCUGGGCUACACACGUGCUACAAUGGUCGGUACAGAGGGUUGCCAAGCCGUGAGCUGGAGCUAAUCCCAGAAAACCGAUCGUAGUCCGGAUCGCAGUCUGCAACUCGACUGUGUGAAGUCGGAAUCGCUAGUAAUCGCGAAUCAGAAUGUCGCGGUGAAUACGUUC